UACGUAGGGUGCGAGCGUUGUCCGGAAUUACUGGGCGUAAAGAGCUCGUAGGUGGUUUGUCGCGUUGUCCGUGAAAACUCACAACUCAAUUGUGGGCGUGCGGGCGAUACGGGCAGACUGGAGUACUGCAGGGGAGACUGAAAUUCCUGGUGUAGCGGUGGAAUGCGCAGAUAUCAGGAGGAACACCGGCGGCGAAGGCAGCACUCUGGGACGUGACUGACGCUGAGACGCGAAAGCGUGGGGAGCAAACAGG
This 253-nucleotide ribosomal RNA is filed under the name uncultured bacterium. Its description in RNAcentral is "partial 16S ribosomal RNA". It matches the Rfam family "Bacterial small subunit ribosomal RNA", at positions 524 to 776 of the family's 1533-position model. The record is from RNAcentral.